AGCAGUAGCCACGGUAAUACGAAGGGUGCAAGCGUUACUCGGAAUUACUGGGCGUAAAGCGUGCGUAGGUGGUGGUUUAAGUCCGUUGUGAAAGCCCUGGGCUCAACCUGGGAAUUGCAGUGGAUACUGGAUCACUAGAGUGUGGUAGAGGAUAGUGGAAUUUCCGGUGUAGCUGUGAAAUGCGUAGAGAUCGGAAGGAACAUCUGUGGCGAAGGCGACUAUCUGGGCCAGCACUGACACUGAGGCACGAAAGCGUGGGGAGCAAACAGGAUUAGAUACCCGCGUAGUCCCUGUCUCUUAUAC
Molecule: ribosomal RNA, 303 nt
Filed under: uncultured bacterium
Lineage: Bacteria
Description: partial 16S ribosomal RNA
Rfam family: Bacterial small subunit ribosomal RNA
Source: RNAcentral